UACGGGGGGGGCAAGCGUUGUUCGGAAUUACUGGGCGUAAAGGGCUCGUAGGUGGCCAACUAAGUCAGACGUGAAAUCCCUCGGCUUAACCGGGGAACUGCGUCUGAUACUGGAUGGCUUGAGUUUGGGAGAGGGAUGCGGAAUUCCGGGUGUAGCGGUGAAAUGCGUAGAUAUCUGGAGGAACACCGGUGGCGAAGGCGGCAUCCUGGACCAACACUGACACUGAGGAGCGAAAGCCAGGGGAGCAAACGGG
This 253-nucleotide ribosomal RNA is filed under the name uncultured bacterium. Its description in RNAcentral is "partial 16S ribosomal RNA". It matches the Rfam family "Bacterial small subunit ribosomal RNA", at positions 524 to 776 of the family's 1533-position model. The record is from RNAcentral.